Molecule: long non-coding RNA, 1880 nt
Filed under: Brassica napus (rape)
Lineage: Eukaryota; Viridiplantae; Streptophyta; Magnoliopsida; Brassicales; Brassicaceae
Description: long non-coding RNA (BNAP_LNC016842)
Source: RNAcentral
CUAGAACACUUUCACAUAUCUACUAAAUCCGAGACUAUUCAUUUAAAAACCCAAAUCAGCUUUUACCUGAUGGGUUUACAUUAGCAGUUUUUUUCACCCAUAGAAACAUUACUCAAACACUAAGGUGCAAAACAUGGAUUGAAGCAGCAUAAUCAGGAUAUCAUUUACUUGGUUCCACCAGAAUCUUGGUUAACUCAGAACAUCAUCAAGUUUGUAGUCAUCCCAACAACAAACGGCUCCAUCAACAAUCUCGUCAAGAAGUAAAAGACGACGCCAAGCAUGAUGGAUAUGGGAAGAGCUACCAUAUGCAAAGGUGUAAUAUUGUUUAAAUCUAGGGAAUCUAAGUUGCAUAAGUUCCGAGGGAGUAUCAUAUUCUUGUCUGAUCAACAACUAUUUUCUCAUUCUAUUUCCAAUUCUGCAAUUUGCCUGAUCUAUGUAGUGUAAAAUUUUCUUGAAUGUGAGAACUCCGCUUCAUUUUUAGAAAAUGACCUCUUAACAUAGUUAAUCCGAAGGUCAUCUUAGCAAGAUAGAUUAGGCAAGGUGGCCUACAUUUCCCGUGUGUAGUUUAUGAAUCUAUCACGCUCCGCCAUUAGAAUCCUAUGAUUGACGACUUUGUUGUGGUUGUGUUUAAUGCCAGUUCUUGGACAUGAGUUCUUUACAUGGGGCGCUGCCAGACAUCCAGACCCCACCAAACUUCUUUAAUGAUGUAUCACAACCAUGGCUCGCUGCAGAUCCUGUCUCGUACCUACCUGCUCCAGCAGGCGCACAAGGUGAUAUUACUUACAUGCUAUGAAACUAUACUCCUUUCAGGGUAUAAGAAAAAGUUAUCAUCACAUCAUGUUGCAUAAAUUAUUAGUAAGCGAGUAUCCUCCAUGUUCACUCCCUUGGAAGGAUGAUUGUAAGCGAAUUGCGUCUAUCACAUCAAGUUUGGGUUGAAAAUAUUCCCACGAGUGAGAAAUGAAAACAUUUAUGAUUGUACAGACUAGAUAUAUUUUCAAGUUUCACCCUGUUAGGUUAUCUAAUUCGUUGAGAAACUGAUGCAGGUGGCUUAGCAUACAUGGCAGGGCAAUCAUCGACGCCCCAACUACAGUAAGUUCAGAAUGUGAUAAUGUUAAAUCUUUAGUGAUGUUAUUGUCUGUAAGAACUGUAUGUGUCCUAUGCUUUAUGUGAAGAAUCGAAGAAGGGCUUUGUUCGAUAAUGUGAUGGAUGAUGCUUUCGUUACUUUUUUGGAUGCCUAGUGAGAAUUUUAUAUUUUGUUUUAUGUGGGGCUGCUUAUAAUGCGUUUGUCUUAUUGCUUAAAAUGAAUGUAGGGAUCCAGCAGCACAAGGCCAUGUUGGAGGAAAUCCAUUUGCUUAGGUAGUCCACGAGCUGCUUCAUCUUCUUCUUCACUUGUGCUUCAUCUUCAAUGCGUCUAUUUAUUUUAAUUUUUUUUUUUUAAAGAAGAAACCACUCUCGUCGUGCAUUGUGUUUAUUUUCUUAGUUCAAAACCAACUACAGCUGUAUGUACGUUUUGAGUUUUGAGUGUAUUUCCGAGUGGACUUGAAUGUCAUGAAUAAGUCGACUAAACCAAGAAGCAAUUCGAAAUAAUCUUCUCUUCCAAAAAUUAUACCUCUUUGUCGGUCCAACACUGGCAUCUAGAACACUUUCACAUAUCUACUAAAUCCGAGACUAUUCAUUUAAAAACCCAAAUCAGCUUUUACCUGAUGGGUUUACAUUAGCAGUUUUUUUCACCCAUAGAAACAUUACUCAAACACUAAGGUGCAAAACAUGGAUUGAAGCAGCAUAAUCAGGAUAUCAUUUACUUGGUUCCACCAGAAUCUUGGUUAACUCAGAACAUCAUCAAGUUUGUAGUCAUCCCAACAACAAACGGCUCCAUCAAC